GAUGAACGCUGGCGGCGUGCCUAAUACAUGCAAGUCGAGCGAACAGAUGAGGAGCUUGCUCCUCUGACGUUAGCGGCGGACGGGUGAGUAACACGUGGAUAACCUACCUAUAAGACUGGGAUAACUUCGGGAAACCGGAGCUAAUACCGGAUAAUAUAUUGAACCGCAUGGUUCAAUAGUGAAAGACGGUUUUGCUGUCACUUAUAGAUGGAUCCGCGCCGCAUUAGCUAGUUGGUAAGGUAACGGCUUACCAAGGCAACGAUGCGUAGCCGACCUGAGAGGGUGAUCGGCCACACUGGAACUGAGACACGGUCCAGACUCCUACGGGAGGCAGCAGUAGGGAAUCUUCCGCAAUGGGCGAAAGCCUGACGGAGCAACGCCGCGUGGGUGAUGAAGGUCUUCGGAUCGUAAGACUCUUUUAUUAGGGAAGAACAAAUGUGUAAGUAACUAUGCACGUCUUGACGGUACCUAAUCAGAAAGCCACGGCUAACUACGUG
RNAcentral lists this ribosomal RNA (497 nucleotides) under uncultured bacterium. RNAcentral describes it as "partial 16S ribosomal RNA". It matches the Rfam family "Bacterial small subunit ribosomal RNA", at positions 28 to 507 of the family's 1533-position model. The record is from RNAcentral.